This 478-nucleotide ribosomal RNA is filed under the name uncultured bacterium. Its description in RNAcentral is "partial 16S ribosomal RNA". It matches the Rfam family "Bacterial small subunit ribosomal RNA", at positions 28 to 507 of the family's 1533-position model. The record is from RNAcentral.
GAUGAACGCUCGCGGCAGGCCUAACACAUGCAAGUCGAGGGAGAAGCCCUUUCGGGGGCAGACACCGGCGCACGGGUGCGUAACGCGUAUGCAACCUACCUUUCACAGGGGGAUAGCCCGAAGAAAUUUGGAUUAAUACCCCAUAAUAUUAUUGGAUGGCAUCAUGUGAUAAUUAAAACUGCGGUGGUGAAAGAUGGGCAUGCGUCCUAUUAGCUAGUUGGAGUGGUAACGGCACCCCAAGGCUACGAUAGGUAGGGGUCCUGAGAGGGCGAUCCCCCACACUGGUACUGAGACAGUGACCAUACUCCUACGGGAGGCAGCAGUGAGGAAUAUUGGUCAAUGGUCGGAAGACUGAACCAGCCAUGCCGCGUGCAGGAAGAAUGCCUUAUGGGUUGUAAACUGCUGUUAUAUGGGAAGAAUAAGGCGUACGUGUACGUUGAUGACGGUACCAUAUGAAUAAGCAUCGGCUAACUCCGUG